AUUGAACGCUGGCGGCAGGCCUAACACAUGCAAGUCGAACGGUAGCACAGAGAGCUUGCUCUCGGGUGACGAGUGGCGGACGGGUGAGUAACGUCUGGGAAACUGCCCGAUGGAGGGGGAUAACUACUGGAAACGGUAGCUAAUACCGCAUAACGUCGCACGACCAAAGUGGGGGACCUUCGGGCCUCACACCAUCGGAUGUGCCCAGAUGGGAUUAGCUAGUAGGUGGGGUAAUGGCUCACCUAGGCGACGAUCCCUAGCUGGUCUGAGAGGAUGACCAGCCACACUGGAACUGAGACACGGUCCAGACACCUACGGGUGGAAGCAGUCGAGAAUUUUUCACAAUGGGGCAACCCUGAUGGAGCGACGCCGCGUGGGGGAUGAAGGGCUUCGGCCUGUAAACCCCUGUCAUUUGCGAACAAACCUUCUGGUUGAACAGGCCAGGAGCUGAUUGUAGCGAAAGAGGAAGGGACGGCUAACUCUGUGCCAGCAGCCGCAGUAA
RNAcentral lists this ribosomal RNA (502 nucleotides) under uncultured bacterium. RNAcentral describes it as "partial 16S ribosomal RNA". It matches the Rfam family "Bacterial small subunit ribosomal RNA", at positions 30 to 523 of the family's 1533-position model. The record is from RNAcentral.